Molecule: ribosomal RNA, 255 nt
Filed under: uncultured bacterium
Lineage: Bacteria
Description: partial 16S ribosomal RNA
Rfam family: Bacterial small subunit ribosomal RNA
Source: RNAcentral
UACGUAGGGGGCAAGCGUUGUCCGGAUUUAUUGGGCGUAAAGAGCGUGUAGGCGGCCACACAGGUCAGCUGUGAAAACUCGAGGCUCAACCUCGAGACGUCGGUUGAAACCGUAUGGCUAGAGUCCGGAAGAGGAGACUGGAAUUCCUGGUGUAGCGGUGAAAUGCGCAGAUAGUCAGGAGGAACACCGGUGGCGAAGGCGGGUCUCUGGGCCGACAUUGGACGCUGAGGAGCGAAAGCGUGGGGAGCGAACAGG